CACCAUUAAGGUUUUUUUUAAAAAAUUGGUGUCAGGUGAACUGAAUAAAAAAAAGGGUAUCUGGCAGCUACAGGGGAUGCUUAGGUUUCUAUGAUAAUCUGACCCUGGAUCCAAUUGGGUCAACGAUGUGUAUUGCAACCAUUUUGCACCUUAGUAUUAAGAUAUUAAGUAUUAAGGGUGGAGACACUGAAUGGCGGCAGUACUGCACACUGUGCAGCACUGCACCAGGAAGCAACUUUAGCAGCCAUCUGAGGAGUGGCCAGUAAAGGUAUCACUAGGCUGUAAUGUAAACACUGCACUUUCUUUGAAAAGACAGUGUUUACAGCAAAAAGCCUGAAAGGGAAUGAUUCUACUCACCAGAACAAAUACAUUAAGCUGUAGUUGUUCUGGUGACUAUAGUGUCCCUUUAAACAAAAACAAAUGUUUUGGUCACUUUAAGAGCCACAGUUUCUGGCAAAAUAUAGAAUAAAAACAAACUGUUGCUAAAUCCUAGAAUGUGUUGAACUGUAAAUUGUAAUGUGUUAUCAAUGACAUCCAUAAUUAUUACUGUAAAUGUUCUAAAGGGAUUAUAUUAAUUGUAGUAGCAGCUAUUCAGGUUGGAUAGAUAUUGAGUCUUACAGAUGACCUGCCUUUAUUGAUUGAUCAUCCCCCAAAGGGAUUAUAUUAUAAUGCAUUAAUGUUAUCACAUUGCUGAUUGUGGGUAAUCAAAGAAAGAACAUCAUGCACAGUUAGCAAGUAAUGACAAGAAAAUCUCUAAUUUACCAGAAAAAGAUUUAGUACAGGC
Non-coding RNA from Pelobates cultripes (western spadefoot toad), 784 nucleotides. The record is from the annotation of a GenBank genome assembly. NCBI's taxonomy places the organism in Eukaryota, Metazoa, Chordata, Amphibia, Anura, Pelobatidae.